Molecule: ribosomal RNA, 440 nt
Filed under: uncultured bacterium
Lineage: Bacteria
Description: partial 16S ribosomal RNA
Rfam family: Bacterial small subunit ribosomal RNA
Source: RNAcentral
CCUACGGGAGGCUGCAGUGGGGAAUAUUGCACAAUGGGGGAAACCCUGAUGCAGCGACGCCGCGUGAGUGAAGAAGUAAUUCGUUACGUAAAGCUCUAUCAGCAGGGAAGAAAAUGACGGUACCUGAGUAAGAAGCCCCGGCUAACUACGUGCCAGCAGCCGCGGUAAUACGUAGGGGGCAAGCGUUAUCCGGAAUGACUGGGCGUAAAGGGUGCGUAGGUGGUUUGACAAGUUGGUAGCGUAACUCCGGGGCUCAACCUCGGCACUACUACCAAAACUGUCGGACUUGAGUGCAGGAGGGGCAAAUGGAAUUCCUAGUGUAGCGGUGGAAUGCGUAGAUAUUAGGAGGAACACCAGUGGCGAAGGCGAUUUGCUGGACUGUAACUGACACUGAGGCACGAAAGCGUGGGGAGCAAACAGGAUUAGAUACCCUGGUAGUC